GCCCUGCUAGCUCAAUCGGUAGAGCGUGAGACUUUUACUAGCCUCGGCAGCAAGUUUAAUUAAUCAUCUCAAGGCUGCGGGUUCGAGCCCCGCGUGGGGCU
RNAcentral lists this transfer RNA (101 nucleotides) under Rhizoctonia solani. It matches the Rfam family "tRNA". From Rfam's summary of the family: Transfer RNA (tRNA) molecules are approximately 80 nucleotides in length. Lineage: Eukaryota; Fungi; Basidiomycota; Agaricomycetes; Cantharellales; Ceratobasidiaceae. The record is from Rfam by way of RNAcentral.